RNAcentral lists this ribosomal RNA (681 nucleotides) under uncultured bacterium. RNAcentral's name for it is "bacterial SSU rRNA". It matches the Rfam family "Bacterial small subunit ribosomal RNA", at positions 60 to 736 of the family's 1533-position model. The record is from RNAcentral.
AGUCGAACGGCAGCACGGAGCUUGCUCUGGUGGCGAGUGGCGAACGGGUGAGUAAUGCGUCGGAACGUAUCCACUAAUGGGGGAUAACGCAUCGAAAGAUGUGCUAAUACCGCAUACGACCUACGGGAGAAAGCAGGGGACCUUCGGGCCUUGCGUUAGUGGAGCGGCCGACGUCUGAUUAGCUAGUUGGUGAGGUAAAGGCUCACCAAGGCGACGAUCAGUAGCUGGUCUGAGAGGAUGAUCAGCCACACUGGAACUGAGACACGGUCCAGACUCCUACGGGAGGCAGCAGUGGGGAAUUUUGGACAAUGGGCGCAAGCCUGAUCCAGCCAUUCCGCGUGAGUGAAGAAGGCCUUCGGGUUGUAAAGCUCUUUCAGCAGGGAAGAAACGAUACGGGUUAAUAAGCCGUAUUAAUGACGGUACCUGCAGAAGAAGCACCGGCUAACUACGUGCCAGCAGCCGCGGUAAUACGUAGGGUGCGAGCGUUAAUCGGAAUUACUGGGCGUAAAGCGUGCGCAGGCGGUUUUUCAAGUCUGAUGUGAAAGCCCCGGGCUUAACCUGGGAACUGCGUUGGAAACUGAAAGACUAGAGUACGGCAGAGGGGGGUAGAAUUCCACGUGUAGCAGUGAAAUGCGUAGAUAUGUGGAGGAAUACCGAUGGCGAAGGCAGCCCCCUGGGUCG